GACGAACGCUGGCGGCGUGCUUAACACAUGCAAGUCGAACGGAAAGGCCCUGCUUUUGUGGGGUGCUCGAGUGGCGAACGGGUGAGUAACACGUGAGUAACCUGCCCUUGACUUUGGGAUAACUUCAGGAAACUGGGGCUCAUACCGGAUAGGAGCGCCUGCUGCAUGGUGGGGGUUGGAAAGUUUCGGCGGUUGGGGAUGGACUCGCGGCUUAUCAGCUUGUUGGUGGGGUAGUGGCUUACCAAGGCUUUGACGGGUAGCCGGCCUGAGAGGGUGACCGGCCACAUUGGGACUGAGAUACGGCCCAGACUCCUACGGGAGGCAGCAGUGGGGAAUAUUGCACAAUGGGCGGAAGCCUGAUGCAGCAACGCCGCGUGCGGGAUGACGGCCUUCGGGUUGUAAACCGCUUUCGCCUGUGACGAAGCGUGAGUGACGGUAAUGGGUAAAGAAGCACCGGCUAACUACGUG
RNAcentral lists this ribosomal RNA (468 nucleotides) under uncultured bacterium. RNAcentral's name for it is "partial 16S ribosomal RNA". It matches the Rfam family "Bacterial small subunit ribosomal RNA", at positions 28 to 507 of the family's 1533-position model. The record is from RNAcentral.